RNAcentral lists this ribosomal RNA (193 nucleotides) under uncultured Actinomycetales bacterium. RNAcentral's name for it is "partial 16S ribosomal RNA". It matches the Rfam family "Bacterial small subunit ribosomal RNA", at positions 138 to 334 of the family's 1533-position model. Lineage: Bacteria; Bacillati; Actinomycetota; Actinomycetes; Actinomycetales. The record is from RNAcentral.
CUGGGAUAAGCUUGGGAAACUGGGUCUAAUACCGGAUAGGAACCGUCUUUAGUGUGGUGGUUGGAAAGUUUUUUCGGUGCAAGAUGAGCUCGCGGCCUAUCAGCUUGUUGGUGGGGUAAUGGCCUACCAAGGCGUCGACGGGUAGCCGGCCUGAGAGGGUGUACGGCCACAUUGGGACUGAGAUACGGCCCAG